AUAAAUACUGUGUGUGACUUUCAUUUCUUCAUCAGAUGAUGGAGCACAACCGAGCCAUGUCACUCACAUCAGCCUCCUCAACACAAACAUGUUUCCUGAUGCUGAUACUGCUGGUGGCAUGGGUAGAUUGUGCUAUUGAACACACUCAGCCCAGUUCCAUCAUGGUAAAGCCAGGAGAGUCUCUGACAGUUACCUGCAAAGUGACUGGAGCUUCCAUUACAGAUGGCAGCAGCUACUGGGGAACAGCCUGGAUUCGUCAGGCAGCAGGGAAACCUCUAGAGUGGAUCAACAGGCUCUACUAUAAUGAAGACAAAAAUGAAAACAAUGCCCUGAAGAACAAGUUCAGUGUCUCCAGAGACACGUCCAGUAACACAGUGACUCUACAGGGCCAGAAUCUACAGGCUGGAGACACAGCUGUGUAUUACUGUGCCCGAGAGGCACUGUGA
Molecule: non-coding RNA, 446 nt
Organism: Sardina pilchardus (European sardine)
Lineage: Eukaryota; Metazoa; Chordata; Actinopteri; Clupeiformes; Clupeidae
Source: the annotation of a RefSeq genome assembly